CUCCUGAUGCCCACGGUCCUUCUGUGAGUACUUAACGAGUAUAGUUGUUACUGCCCAAGCUAUAAUAUAUUUUUUCUGGACUAAAUGCCCACGGUCCUUCUCCGAGGACGAAUACUUUGUGUUUGAACCAUAUUUGAAUUUACCGCCAUUAUUUUUUGGGAUUGCAUCUAUGGAUUUAACAUUCCAUCACUGACAGCUGUCUUAAGUGUCAUCUGAGGAUAAUCAAUCGUUCAUUGAAAAAACGUCAAAAAACGGAACCAUGGCGGGGCCACCGUCGACUAAAAUAUAAUGCGAAAUCCAAGAAAUUGAAGCAGAUUUAGCUAUGUCGGACAUAGAUCUCUCGGAGGACGAUGACAUGACGACAUAAAUGACUCACCAUGAACCCGUAGAAUUUGAAUUUUGUGAUGAUGAUAUCCAGGAGCUGCUA
Molecule: long non-coding RNA, 427 nt
Organism: Plutella xylostella (diamondback moth)
Lineage: Eukaryota; Metazoa; Arthropoda; Insecta; Lepidoptera; Plutellidae
Source: RefSeq, a predicted model, not a curated record